RNAcentral lists this ribosomal RNA (829 nucleotides) under uncultured archaeon. RNAcentral's name for it is "bacterial SSU rRNA". It matches the Rfam family "Archaeal small subunit ribosomal RNA", at positions 16 to 850 of the family's 1478-position model. The record is from RNAcentral.
GCCAGAGGUCACCGCUAUUGGGAUUCGAUUAAGCCAUGCGAGUCGAGAGGGUUCGGCCCUCGGCAGACGGCUCAGUAACACGUGGAUAAUCUGCCCUUAGGUGGAGGAUAACCUCGGGAAACUGAGAAUAAUACUCCAUAGACCUAGGAGGCUGGAAUGCACCUAGAUUGAAAGUUCCGACGCCUAAGGAUGAGUCUGCGGACUAUCAGGUUGUAGUCAGGGUAACGGCCUGACUAGCCUACGACGGAUACGGGUUGUGAGAGCAAUAACCCGGAGACGAUAUCUGAGACACGAUAUCGGGCCCUACGGGGCGCAGCAGGCGCGAAAACUUCACACUGUGCGAAAGCGCGAUGAGGGAAUCCCAAGUGCUUGCACGUAAGUGUAAGCUGUUUCUUUGUUUAAAACGCAAGGAGAGGAAGGGCUGGGUAAGACGGGUGCCAGCCGCCGCGGUAAUACCUGCAGCUCAAGUGGUGACCGCUAUUAUUGGGCCUAAAACGUUCGUAGCCGGCUGAGUAAAUGCUUGGGUAAAUCGUGUAGCUUAACUAUACGAAUUCCGGGUAGACUGCUUAGCUUGAGACCGGGAGAAGCUAGAGGUACUCCUGGGGUAGAGGUGAAAUUCUGUAAUCCUGGGGGGACCACCAGUGGCGAAGGCGUCUAGCUAGAACGGGUCUGACGGUGAGGAACGAAACCCUGGGGCGCAAACCGGAUUAGAUACCCGGGUAGUCCAGGGCGCAAACGCUGCUUGCUUGAUGUUAGUUGGGCUCCGAGCNNGACUAGUGUCGGAGAGAAGUUGUUAACCAAGCUGCCUGGGAAGUACGAUCGCAAGAUU